This 510-nucleotide ribosomal RNA is filed under the name uncultured bacterium. RNAcentral's name for it is "bacterial SSU rRNA". It matches the Rfam family "Bacterial small subunit ribosomal RNA", at positions 26 to 518 of the family's 1533-position model. The record is from RNAcentral.
GCUAGGAUGAACGCUAGCACAGGCUAACACAUGACAAGCGGAGGGCAGCGAUAAAGUAGCAAUACUUGGUGGCGACCGGCGCACGGGUGAGUAACGCGUAUGCAACCUACCUAUCAGAGGGGAAUAACCCGGCGAAAGUCGGACUAAUACCGCAUAAAACAGGGGCACCGCAUGGUGAUAUUUGUUAAAGAAAUUCGCUGGUAGAUGGGCAUGCGUUCCAUUAGGUAGUUGGUGAGGUAACGGCUCACCAAGCCGACGAUGGAUAGGGGAACGUGAGAGGUUGGUCCCCACCACUGGUACUGAGACACGGACCAGACUCCUACGGGAGGCAGCAGUGAGGAAUAUUGGUCAAUGGGCGGGAGCCUGAACCAGCCAAGUCGCGUGAAGGAAGAAAAGGGAUCUAUGGUUCGUAAACUUCUUUUAGCUAGGGGAAUAAAGGUGACAGGACGGUGUCCUGCUUUUGUAUGUACCCUGAGAAUAAGGAUCGGCUAACUCCGUGCCAGCAGCUGC